GUACUGAUGAAGAAUCCGAAACUUGGACGAAACAGCUGUCCUGUAC
RNAcentral lists this non-coding RNA (46 nucleotides) under Trichobilharzia regenti. Lineage: Eukaryota; Metazoa; Platyhelminthes; Trematoda; Strigeidida; Schistosomatidae. The record is from RNAcentral.